UCCUACGGGGGGCAGCAGUGGGGAAUAUUGCGCAAUGGGCGAAAGCCUGACGCAGCGACGCCGCGUGAGGGAUGAAGGUCUUCGGAUCGUAAACCUCUGUCAGCAGGGAAGAAAGGUCACUGUGCUAAUCAGCAGUGAAUUGACGGUACCUGCAAAGGAAGCACCGGCUAACUCCGUGCCAGCAGCCGCGGUAAUACGGAGGGUGCGCGCGUUAAUCGGAAUUACUGGGCGUAAAGCGCUCGUAGGCGGUAUUUCACGUCAAGGGUGAAAUCCCCGCGCUCAACCUGGGACCUGCCUUUGAAACU
RNAcentral lists this ribosomal RNA (305 nucleotides) under uncultured bacterium. RNAcentral's name for it is "bacterial SSU rRNA". It matches the Rfam family "Bacterial small subunit ribosomal RNA", at positions 337 to 634 of the family's 1533-position model. The record is from RNAcentral.